CCCAUUUUACCCUUUUCUAAAAUCCUGUUCAUUUGGACUACACACGUGGACACUCUCUCUGCACAGGUACUUUUCUAUUUUUCCCACAUUUUUUCCUUCUUCUCUUUUUUCUUCUCUUUUUUCACAAACCCUAUCCCCCUUUUCACUCAAUGAUAAUCUCUCCCAAUCAAAGCUGCAGACUCAACUUUUCUGAUUGCUUGCAACUAUGGUUUUGUAAAUUUCAAUACAAACCCUAUCUCUCUUUAGUGUCCUUCAUAAAGUUAAACCAACUUCUUCUUCAUUUCUUUCAUCUCUCUCUCUCAUCUUCUCUCUCUCUCUCGAAAGUCUUUUUUUUUCUUUUCCUAGCAAAGUUUUCAUUUCUUCCUUUCUCCUCCUCCCUCAUGGCAAGACCGUUCGAGCGCGUUGCCGACAUCAACCACGGUAAGGAUUUGUGGAAGGUGGCGGUUCGAGUUGAGCAUAAAUGGAGUGUCGUUUCCAACAAGAAAGCACACUUUGAAAUGAUUUUCAUUGACAAGGAUAAAGUAUGGAAUCCGAAUUCGAGCGGAUCAACGAUUUAGUUACUUCAAAUAAUUAGACUGAGGAGGUGAUGAGGGAGUAGAUGCUGCCGAUGAAAAAGUAGAAGCAGGAAGUUUGAAACUUUCCAUAUCUGUGGAACUGAUUCUUGUCACCCUAAUGUCAAAGAUACUGUGAGAGUAUGUCCUGAAGCCGGUGUUAAGGUAUAUGUUCGAUAAUGGCUGCUAAACUAAGGCACUAUCCAUCUUAGAAUAGUUGGUGACCACCGGUUUUGUGAAAAAUGUUUUCUCUAGAAACGAGUACAAUGUUGUUCCUGAAUCAUCAUUUGUAGAAGAAUAUGACGUUGUUGUGAGUGAUGAUGUGAUGGAACCAAGUUUGCAUAAGUAUGUUACUGUUAAGAGAGGUGGUUCAUUUUCACUUUGUGAGGAUCAAGAGUCUUCUGGCAGUAAUAGCUUCAGUUUGAAUAGUGGCCAACAACAACAACACUAGAACAAUUGUUCUUCUGGUGAUUCGCCCGAUUGUUGGAGUCCGAGAUUGAGUUCUAAAGAGGAGAGUUUGAUGAAAAGAAGAGUGUGAUCAUCAGCAUAGCGGUGGUAUCGGACAUGGAAGACUUGCUACUACAUCUUCUGGCAUUAAAGUAUCAAUCGGCAGCAAUGAAGAUUUACUAAAACCUGCACCAACAGAAGCAGCUUUGCUGUUAAUACUAAAGAAUUUUUUUGAGGUCAUUCUGCAUCUCCAUGUAGUGAAUAGGUGAUUCUUGGAGGUGGUGAGGAUGUAUCAGUUGUUACAGCUUCUGAUCAAAGUGUUGGAAGCUACCUUAUCGGCUGUGACAACGAACUUGCAAAAUUACAUACUAGACAUCCCUAGGCUUGCGACAAAGUUGGUGGCGUGAUCAUUAUGCAUAUAGACAAUCUCCAAAAAUUCGCGAUGCUAUGGCUGCAUAAAACUGAGGAGGUUCGAGCUGAUAGAGCUCAUUAUGCAAGAAAUAUAACACGAGACAUAUAUGAGACCGGGUGGAUCAGUGAGAUGUAUGGUUACUCAUUUGGUGCGGUCGAGUUGAAACUAAAGCACACUAUAAGCAGUGAGAUAUUGAUAUACCCGGGAUAUGUUCCUGCGCUGAACGUCAAAUAUCGAGUUUGUCAUUAUGGAUUGCAAUUCAGUUAGUUGUCCACAUGGUCUAUUGAUGCCUGAGCAAGCUCCUGGUGCUAAACGGAUCCUUAUUCCUGAGACUUUUUGGCUCUUCUUAUGUGAAGAUGCUAUUUCUGUAAAACAUGAUGAUGCUUUAGGUGGCCUGAUUCUUCCUUGAGGUUCUACAGAGUGUUCCCAAUGCAUUAAUGAAUUAUCUGAAGCAGCAUGCUUGGAGGAUUCUUAGAGGUUAUUUCAUUUGUAAUUGACAUUACAAAUAGUGACAAAUAAUUACCUGAAAUGAUGCUGUGUGCUGAAAGAAUGCUCAUGUUACGAAACUCUUAACUCGGCCUAACCAUAGUCAGUUUUAUAUUUUUGAGAAAUAAUAGUAGUUAUAGUUAUAAUGCCUAGAUAGUACUUUUGUAGUAGCUAUAUGAUAUUUGCAUGAUGAGAUGUUGGAAUGAAGAGCUAAUAUUUUUUAA
Long non-coding RNA from Vicia villosa (hairy vetch), 2120 nucleotides. RefSeq lists it as uncharacterized. NCBI's taxonomy places the organism in Eukaryota, Viridiplantae, Streptophyta, Magnoliopsida, Fabales, Fabaceae. The record is from RefSeq and is a predicted model, not a curated record. The transcript is spliced from 9 exons.